AUACGGAGGGUGCAAGCGUUACUCGGAAUCACUGGGCGUAAAGCGCGCGCAGGCGGCUUGAUAAGUUGGAUGUGAAAGCCUACGGCUCAACCGUAGAACUGCAUCCAAAACUGUCAGGCUAGAGUGCGGGAGAGGAAGAUGGAAUUAGUUGUGUAGGGGUAAAAUCCGUAGAGAUAACUAGGAAUACCAAAAGCGAAGGCAAUCUUCUGGAACACUACUGACGCUGAGGCGCGAAGGCGUGGGGAGCAAACAGGAUUAGAAACCCCGGUAGUCC
This 274-nucleotide ribosomal RNA is filed under the name uncultured bacterium. Its description in RNAcentral is "partial 16S ribosomal RNA". It matches the Rfam family "Bacterial small subunit ribosomal RNA", at positions 523 to 796 of the family's 1533-position model. The record is from RNAcentral.